GUAGAUCGUGCUCUUAUGAUUGAAGGGAAGCAGCAGCAAAUUGAGAAUCGCAAGAGGAAGUAUGGACAAGGAAAGUACAAUUCAGGAGCUCAGCAGAAGCCAUGUUUUACCCCUAGACCGGGAGGACAUUUUCAGCAUACCCAUGGGGGAGGUAGCUCGCACAAUCACAAUGGCACUAAGAAUGGUAAUGGCAAUGGAGGAAGCAACGGCCAGAACCGCACCAACCCAUCAACCCCAGCCAAGAAGGACUUGAGCCAAGUCACUUGCUAUAAGUGUUCGAAGCCAGGACAUUAUGCCAAUGAAUGUCCUAAAGGCCAAAAUGGCAAUGGAAGUUCUGGGAAGAAGCCGAACCCU
This 354-nucleotide ribosomal RNA is filed under the name Triticum aestivum (bread wheat). RNAcentral describes it as "partial small subunit ribosomal RNA". Lineage: Eukaryota; Viridiplantae; Streptophyta; Magnoliopsida; Poales; Poaceae. The record is from RNAcentral.